RNA transcript from Homo sapiens (human), 4199 nucleotides. It is a transcript of the gene named DDB1 and CUL4 associated factor 8, with no coding region annotated. The record is from RefSeq and is marked reviewed. The transcript is spliced from 14 exons. Lineage: Eukaryota; Metazoa; Chordata; Mammalia; Primates; Hominidae.
AGUCUUCUCGAGCACAUCGUCGCAAACGGGGCCGGAAAGCGUGGCAGCGCAGGCGCAAGCGCAGAGAGCGGAGGCGGUGGUGGUGGCGGCCGCUGGCCAGUGUAAGAUGGCGGCGGCGUUGGUGGUGGCAGUGGACGGGGCGGCUGGGCCUGGAACAGUCGGAGCAGCCGCUAGCAGAAGGAUGACCCAAGACGGGAAGCGGGCUGCUGAGCCUCGCCGAUUCCCGUGCUUGUAACUGCCCCAGCCGGACACCCCCCCUCCCUUGACCUACCCGGUCUGUGUCUCGUUCCGGCUCGGCCUGCGCCCCCCCUCGCUUCCCAGCCGGUUUCCCCUAAGGAUGGGCCUGACCCGUAUCCCAAGCUCUUAGCGCUCAGGUCUUUUCCUUCCGCCGACCCGAAGUCAUCGCUGGGAGUACUGGUUGCCCUUUCCUCAGUCCUUCAGUGAAUCUACAGACCUAUUUUCUCAGGAGCUCAGCCUGGCCUUACUUCAGUGAUAAAAGGAGGAAAGGCUGGCUACAGCAAACAUCAUUCAAGAUGUCCAGCAAAGGGAGCAGCACAGAUGGCAGAACAGACUUAGCUAAUGGAAGCCUGUCUAGCAGUCCAGAGGAGAUGUCUGGAGCUGAAGAGGGGAGGGAGACAUCCUCAGGCAUUGAAGUGGAGGCCUCAGACCUGAGUUUGAGCUUGACUGGGGAUGAUGGUGGCCCCAACCGCACCAGCACAGAAAGUCGAGGCACAGACACAGAGAGCUCAGGUGAAGAUAAGGACUCUGACAGCAUGGAGGACACUGGUCAUUACUCCAUUAAUGAUGAAAAUCGAGUCCAUGACCGCUCAGAGGAAGAGGAAGAGGAGGAAGAAGAGGAGGAAGAAGAGCAGCCUCGGCGCCGUGUACAGCGCAAGCGGGCUAACCGUGACCAGGACUCAUCAGAUGAUGAGCGGGCCCUAGAGGACUGGGUGUCCUCAGAAACAUCAGCUCUACCCCGACCUCGCUGGCAAGCCCUCCCUGCCCUUCGGGAGCGGGAGCUGGGUUCAAGUGCCCGCUUUGUCUAUGAGGCCUGUGGGGCAAGAGUCUUUGUGCAGCGUUUCCGCCUGCAGCAUGGGCUUGAGGGCCAUACUGGUUGUGUCAAUACCCUGCACUUUAACCAGCGCGGCACCUGGCUGGCCAGUGGCAGCGAUGACCUGAAGGUGGUGGUGUGGGAUUGGGUACGGCGGCAGCCAGUACUGGACUUUGAGAGUGGCCACAAAAGUAAUGUGUUCCAGGCCAAGUUUCUUCCUAACAGUGGUGAUUCUACUCUGGCCAUGUGUGCCCGUGACGGGCAGGUUCGAGUAGCAGAACUGUCUGCCACACAGUGUUGCAAGAAUACAAAACGUGUGGCCCAGCACAAGGGAGCGUCCCACAAGUUGGCACUGGAACCAGACUCUCCCUGUACGUUCUUAUCUGCAGGUGAAGAUGCAGUUGUUUUCACCAUUGACCUGAGACAAGACCGCCCAGCGUCGAAACUGGUGGUGACAAAAGAGAAAGAGAAGAAAGUGGGGCUGUAUACGAUCUAUGUGAAUCCUGCCAAUACCCACCAGUUUGCAGUGGGUGGACGAGAUCAGUUUGUAAGGAUUUAUGACCAGAGGAAAAUUGAUGAGAAUGAGAACAAUGGAGUACUCAAGAAGUUCUGUCCUCAUCACCUGGUGAACAGUGAGUCCAAAGCAAACAUCACCUGUCUUGUGUACAGCCACGACGGCACAGAGCUCCUGGCCAGUUACAAUGAUGAAGACAUUUACCUCUUCAACUCCUCUCACAGUGAUGGGGCCCAGUAUGUUAAGAGAUACAAGGGCCACAGAAAUAAUGCCACAGUAAAAGGCGUCAAUUUCUAUGGCCCCAAGAGUGAGUUUGUGGUGAGCGGUAGUGACUGUGGGCACAUCUUCCUCUGGGAGAAAUCAUCCUGCCAGAUUAUUCAGUUCAUGGAGGGGGACAAGGGAGGCGUGGUAAACUGUCUUGAGCCCCACCCUCACCUGCCUGUGCUGGCAACCAGUGGCCUAGACCAUGAUGUGAAGAUCUGGGCACCCACAGCUGAAGCUUCCACUGAGCUGACAGGGUUAAAAGAUGUGAUUAAGAAGAACAAGCGGGAGCGGGAUGAAGAUAGCUUGCACCAAACUGACCUGUUUGAUAGUCACAUGCUGUGGUUCCUUAUGCAUCACCUGAGACAGAGACGCCAUCACCGGCGCUGGCGAGAACCUGGGGUUGGGGCCACAGACGCGGACUCUGAUGAGUCUCCCAGCUCCUCAGACACAUCGGACGAGGAGGAGGGCCCUGACCGGGUGCAGUGCAUGCCAUCUUGAGGCCUCAUACCUAGGUGGGGCAGGCUGGGGCUGCCAACCUGAUCCUGCCUGGGCAACCCUUUCCUGUCCCAGGCCCUACAUUCAGCAGAAACGCACUUUGGACUUUUUGCUUUAGAUAAAAGAAAGACAUCCCAGGAGAAGGACAAACCAGAGGAGUGAACCAACAAAGAGUACCUAGGAAUGGGAGUUGAGCCCUGGAAUGGGGCUCUAUGGAGAGGUGCAUAGGACUCGGCAGAAAUGGCCUCUCCCCAAAGCCUCUUUUUGAGAGGAGAGGGAAGCCUAUUUUGUUAACUGGUUUGGGAUAGGGAAUGGGGUUUCUUUUUCUUUAAUCUCCCUUGUUUCUUGGGCUGGGGGAGGGGUGGGGGGAACAACUGGCUAUUCAGUACCAAGGGGCCAGAGUGGAGGGUAGGAGUGCCACUCUCUCUUUGGUUUAGGUUUUUGACCUUUUCUUCCUUUGUUUUUUAAAAGUUUAUGACAGUUGGCUCCCCCCCCACCCCCAGCAACCCCAUCCCAGAAUCCUAUUUUCCUGGGAAGUCCUUAAAGCCCCUAACCAUCCCACACUCUUCACUUUCCUUUCCACCUUAUUCAUUCUCUGUACUUACCACAGUAUUUUGCACUUGAUUACAUAUCCUUCACUCUCUUCUCUUCAUCCCAUCACCCCCUAAAUAGGUCAGGUGAGGGAGGCUGGGAAGAGGUGGGAGGAGGGGCAGAAGUGAAGGAAGAAUAGGAAGGAUAUUACCUCUUCUGUUAUUUUUUUAAGAAACAUUGUUUGGUGGCAGCAAUCUCCCUGUCCCUAUCACUGUUAGAGGCCUAAUUUUAUAUCUAUAAAUAUAUUAAAAAGCAAGUCAAACUUGGAUGUAUCAAGGUAAAAUUAUUGUCAAAGUUUAAAUACCUAUAUAUUCUCUGAAUGCAAUAAAGGGACUUAAGAGUGAACAAGAGUAAUGGUGUGGAAGUGACACCUGGGGUCAGUUUACCUCUGUGUAUGGUCACUAGAGAUUGGGACUUACCCUUUAGGUUUUAGGAGGCUUGAGAAUGGAAGGAUCCUCAUUUCUGCCCUUCCUGGUUCCCUGCUUUGGUGUAGGGGUUGGGAAAAACAGGAAAUUCCUCUCAGCUCUGCCUCAGAUCUCCUACCUCUCCUUAAGUCUUGUAGGGGGUUCCAAGGAUGGCUCUUCUAACCAGAGGCUGGCCUGUCUUUAAAACUUAACUACUUUAGGGUGGUGCCACCACUGCAGACUAUUGUGGUACUUUGUGACAGAAGACAUGUACACACACACCACACACAUACAUACACACUCUCUCACUCUGUCUCUCUUACCUUUAGCUGCUUGAUCAUUAAGCCAUCCAACUUCAUGCCAGUUCCCUUCUUUAUAGAAGAGUGAAGGGAAAGACUUCCUGGGUUUGACUUAAACCUUGUCCACCUCUUGAUAUUUUAGGAUUGAGGAAUAAGUCAUUAAUCUAAGGACUGAUUACAGUGGCUGGAGCUUGGGCACUUGUCUUAUCACUGGUCACUGAGUCUGAAAGUCCCAGCUGAAUUCUUGCCCUUAAGUGCUUUUGCUGCUAUUUUUUUGCCCCCAGUUCCACAAGAUCCAACCAAGAAUUCUGUAUCCUGGGACAGUCAGAUUCUUCUAAAUCAGGCCAGGAAGGAGGGGAAAAGAGUGAGAGAAUGGUAUUCCCAGAUACUUCUUCCUCCUGCCCCUUUUCCCAGCAGCUCUGAGACCAGAUGUUGGCUGCUGUACUUACUCCCUGAGGUAGGGAAUGUGUGGUGAUCGAGUGGUCUGUGUUCCUAUUGCUGGUGGGGUGAUAGGGUGGGCUAAAAACCAUGCACUCUGGAAUUUGUUGUAUUUUCUCCCAGUAAAGCUUUUCUUCUCCCGA